CCUCAUUCCUGAACCUAUAAUAAAACUGGAACAAUACAGAGAAGAUGGCAUGGCCCCUGCGCAAGGAUGACACGCAAAUUCGUGAAGCGUUCCAUAUGGUA
This is a non-coding RNA of Ancylostoma duodenale, 101 nucleotides long. The record is from Rfam. NCBI's taxonomy places the organism in Eukaryota, Metazoa, Nematoda, Chromadorea, Rhabditida, Ancylostomatidae.